ACGGAAGGCAGCAGUGGGGAAUAUUGCACAAUGGGGGAAACCCUGAUGCAGCAACGCCGCGUGAGUGAUGAAGGUCUUCGGAUUGUAAAGCUCUGUCUUUAGGGACGAUAAUGACGGUACCUAAGGAGGAAGCCACGGCUAACUACGUGCCAGCAGCCGCGGUAAUACGUAGGUGGCAAGCGUUAUCCGGAUUUACUGGGCGUAAAGGGAGCGUAGGCGGAUAUUUAAGUGGGAUGUGAAAUACCUGAGCUUAACUUGGGUGCUGCAUUCCAAACUGGGUAUCUAGAGUGCAGGAGAGGAGAAUGGAAUUCCUAGUGUAGCGGUGAAAUGCGUAGAGAUUAGGAAGAACACCAGUGGCGAAGGCGAUUCUCUGGACUGUAACUGACGCUGAGGCUCGAAAGCGUGGGGAGCAAACAGGAUUAGAUACCCUGGUA
RNAcentral lists this ribosomal RNA (434 nucleotides) under uncultured Sarcina sp. RNAcentral describes it as "bacterial SSU rRNA". It matches the Rfam family "Bacterial small subunit ribosomal RNA", at positions 341 to 792 of the family's 1533-position model. Lineage: Bacteria; Bacillati; Bacillota; Clostridia; Eubacteriales; Clostridiaceae. The record is from RNAcentral.